CAGUUGUGGGGCCAUGUUCUAAAGAGGGCCUUUGUGCCUCUAAACAGACACAAAAUGCAAUUAUAAUGUCUGUGCAACAUGAACAGCACACUUGUGCUGAAGAGAUGUGAUUUCAACUCAGAUAUUAUGAAGAAACGAUUUAAAUUCCAAGUUUGUACUGUCUUCUACCUCGUAUGGAUCUUGCCGAUUGCUAGCUCGGCCUGCUAGCUGCACAGUGGUCGUCCUGCAACAACUGAAUUCCCACUGGACUUCAGCGCGAGACUAGAGCUAGCCUUCUGUAACGCUAUUACUGUGCAAGCCACAGGCAUCAUUUGGACCGUUUUUAUGUAGUUACAUAGUCACUGAUAUGGCCAUAGCCACUACAGUGCUCAAUUACCUAUAUUUGAGGGGUAAUAAACUU
This is a long non-coding RNA of Etheostoma spectabile (orangethroat darter), 400 nucleotides long. RefSeq lists it as uncharacterized. Lineage: Eukaryota; Metazoa; Chordata; Actinopteri; Perciformes; Percidae. The transcript is spliced from 3 exons. The record is from RefSeq and is a predicted model, not a curated record.